Molecule: ribosomal RNA, 253 nt
Filed under: uncultured bacterium
Lineage: Bacteria
Description: partial 16S ribosomal RNA
Rfam family: Bacterial small subunit ribosomal RNA
Source: RNAcentral
UACGAAGGGGGCUAGCGUUGCUCGGAAUCACUGGGCGUAAAGCGCACGUAGGCGGACUCUUAAGUCGGUGGUGAAAUCCCCGGGCUCAACCCGGGAACUGCGUCCGAUACUGGUGGGCUCGAAUCCGGGAGAGGGAUGCGGAAUUCCAGGUGUAGCGGUGAAAUGCGUAGAUAUCUGGAGGAACACCGGUGGCGAAGGCGGCAUCCUGGACCGGUACUGACGCUGAGACGCGAAAGCGUGGGGAGCGAACAGG